UUGAAAUGUUUUGAAGGGGACUGUUGCUGGCCUUGUAACAAAGGCAUGUGCACGUUUCCUUUCAAUCUAUUCAUCCACCUGUGCACCUUUCUGUAGAAGCUUUUUCAGGUCGUUGUUAGGGGCUGUACUUCAGUGCAGCUCUGUUGAUGAUUCUGGGCUUCUAUGUCUUACAAACUCAAAUAAAAUGUAAUUGAAUGUCUCUUUAUUGGUACUUAAUUGGACCUUUAAAACUUAUA
RNAcentral lists this unclassified non-coding RNA (236 nucleotides) under Omphalotus japonicus. RNAcentral describes it as "ITS1". The record is from RNAcentral. Lineage: Eukaryota; Fungi; Basidiomycota; Agaricomycetes; Agaricales; Omphalotaceae.